RNAcentral lists this ribosomal RNA (503 nucleotides) under Strombidinopsis acuminata. Its description in RNAcentral is "partial Eukaryotic small subunit ribosomal RNA". It matches the Rfam family "Eukaryotic small subunit ribosomal RNA", at positions 447 to 964 of the family's 1831-position model. Lineage: Eukaryota; Ciliophora; Spirotrichea; Choreotrichida; Strombidinopsidae. The record is from RNAcentral.
AAUCCUGACACAGGGAGGUAGUGACAAGAAAUAACGGGUCGGGGCAUUUGCCUCGGGAUUGCAAUGAAUCGAAUUUACACCCCUUAAUGAGGAUCAAUUGGAGGGCAAGUCUGGUGCCAGCAGCCGCGGUAAUUCCAGCUCCAAUAGCGUAUAUUAAAGUUGUUGCAGUUAAAAAGCUCGUAGUUUGAUUUCUGGACGGGCGCUAACACCCGCUUGUUUAGUGAGGGGUCGGCGCCCGCCCAUCCUUCUGUUAACGCCACCGGCAUUCACUUGCUGGCGGCGGGCUCAGAUAUUUUACCUUGAGAAAAUUAGAGUGUUUCAGGCAGGCUUGCGCCUAGAUACAUUAGCAUGGAAUAAUAGAAUAGGACUUUGGCCUCUUCUGUUGGUCUGAGGGGUUAGAGUAAUGAUUAAUAGGGAUAGUUGGGGGCAUUAGUACUUAACUGCUAGAGGUGAAAUUCUCAGAUUUGUUAAAGACUAACUUAUGCGAAAGCAUUUGCCAAGGA